AAAGGGUGGGAAAAUGAGUCUCAGCUCCUAAUAAAUUCCUGAUUUGCAGCUUGCUCUAUCAGCGGAAGGAGCACUGAGCUUCUGCCUGGCGAAGGCUCCCAGAGGUCAUUCCAUCCAUCCCUCUGCCCCCGGCCCGGGCCAUCACACUCACGCCUGCACGCCUGAGUCCAGCCCAGGGAGACGGGGGAGUCCAGCCCUGAGUCCAGCCCAGGGAGACAGGCUUGAUCAGGGCAGGCAAGUACCCCGGAGACCCCCCCUCAGUAUCCCUGCUCUGAAUCUCACCCUUUUCUUCCUGGUCUUUCCUAGGAAAAGAACCUGGAAACUUCUUCACUGGAAAGUUCUUCACGUAGUUGAAUUUAUCUUUGUGAUACACAGAUUAUCCAAAUCUGAACUGAAAUUCCAGCUGGAUCCGGGGUGCCUCCCUAACCCACCUUCCCGCAGACCGUCCUAACCUGCCAGGAGGAGGCCCAGCUGCCGGCCCGAUUACCGGUCUGGAAGGAGCCUGGAGGGCAGGGAGGGAAGCGUCUACGGACUCCUAGAAUCCACGACACAACAGCCUUCCUCUGUCACCCUGUGGGGAA
This 581-nucleotide long non-coding RNA is filed under the name Dasypus novemcinctus (nine-banded armadillo). RNAcentral describes it as "lncRNA (ENSDNOG00000052135.1)". The record is from RNAcentral. Lineage: Eukaryota; Metazoa; Chordata; Mammalia; Cingulata; Dasypodidae.